GACAGAGGGUGCAAACGUUGUUCGGAAUUACUGGGCGUAAAGGGCGUGUAGGCGGCCAACUAAGUCCGACGUGAAAUCCCCAGGCUUAACCUGGGAACUGCGUCGGAUACUGGAUGGCUUGAAUUCGGGAGAGGGAUGCAGAAUUCCAGGUGUAGCGGUGAAAUGCGUAGAUAUCUGGAGGAAUACCGGUGGCGAAGGCGGCAUCCUGGACCGACAUUGACGCUGAAGCGCGAAAGCUAGGGGAGCAAACGGG
This 253-nucleotide ribosomal RNA is filed under the name uncultured bacterium. RNAcentral's name for it is "partial 16S ribosomal RNA". It matches the Rfam family "Bacterial small subunit ribosomal RNA", at positions 524 to 776 of the family's 1533-position model. The record is from RNAcentral.